GUGUGCCAUUCAAAGGGUGAAUGGGCAAGACAAAAUAUUGAAGUGCCUUUGAACGGGACUACAGCAUUGAAACCUGCAGGGGAACCACAUCUCAGUAGUACCAGAGGUGUUACCAAGGAACCUGCAACAGAAGGGGUAUUUGCAACACCAGCAGGUGUCUCUCAAACAAAAUUGUGAUGAACAGGACUUCAGGAAUCCCCCUGUCUCUGAGGGGUAGGAGACUGAAUACAUUAAUGGAUGUGUGGUCAAUCCAAAAAACGAUUCCCCCACUCACAUAUUCCUUGACACUGGGGCUGAGGACAGAGAGGAAUUGUAUGGAGUAUACGGUUUGCCACCACCAGAGCUUUGUUUCCUCAAUGUGGCUGACAAUAAGGUAUGUACAUUGUCAAGAUAUAUUUCGGGAGGACUAUACUGUGAGUCAGUGAAGUCCCUUGUCUCAUUAUUGCCUCCAGAUUGUCGAGGAAGAAGCAGUGUCUGUAGCUGUGUUCGUCCUAUGCUCAGUGAGAUUGUUAUUCACUCCAACCCACUGACCACACAGAAGUGGUGCCCCCCUACUGCUGACUUACUUCCUCCAGGAAAGGCUGGGUAUUAGAAUUAGGUAAAAAUGAAAAUUCCAAAGGUGCCUUUAUUGAUGCUCCUUGACGCUGCUGGCUCUCUGGAGGUGAAAGAUGUUGAAGAUCACACUAUACAAUAGUCAUCAGAUGACCCUUCCAAAAUGAGGAGUCAUUCUUUUGUGGUGGCUGCUGAGGGAAGAACUUUUCAUAACAGUGGCGGUCAGUGCUGUUUAUGAUGAGGGAGGAAUUUAUUAAUUUUUUUCCUUCGUGAGCAUGUCCUCUAUUACAGCGUGUUGGAUGACUGUCAUUCAUAUUGUAUUCACCCAGUUCAAUGUAACAUUGAUGGUUUAGGCUAUUACAUGAUUCUCAAAUUUUCCCUAUACCCACCAUGAUGUUGCUACAACCUAGUUUAUGUCAUUUAAGAUUAGACAGUGACACAUUCAAUACUGCCUUGCCUGCAUCGCUUAUCUAGUGUGUAAUUAUUAGUACAACAGUUACAAACAUGUUUCUAUUGGCCAAAUCCUAGUGUUUUCUUUAUUUUUAUCCUAAUUUUGUUUGCUUCCGUUUUAAGAAAUGUUUUUCAACAGAAUCGUCGGAAUGAAUAAACCCCUGAUCACAAAUAAACAAAGUUCAGCCUCA
Molecule: long non-coding RNA, 1193 nt
Filed under: Salmo salar (Atlantic salmon)
Lineage: Eukaryota; Metazoa; Chordata; Actinopteri; Salmoniformes; Salmonidae
Description: lncRNA (ENSSSAG00000005298.2)
Source: RNAcentral